This is a long non-coding RNA of Mastomys coucha (southern multimammate mouse), 3863 nucleotides long. RefSeq lists it as uncharacterized. The record is from RefSeq and is a predicted model, not a curated record. Lineage: Eukaryota; Metazoa; Chordata; Mammalia; Rodentia; Muridae. The transcript is spliced from 2 exons.
AGUCCUUAGUGUGUAUUGUUUGCAGUACUCAGUACAAAAUAUUCUAGAUGUGCCAGGAUCGUGGCCAAAGUCAUGCCUAGGCUGUGAAGCUCCUACAGCAAAACAACUCUGUAGAUAACACAAAACAGCUCUGUAGAUAACACAAAACAACUCUAUAGAUAACACAAAACAACUCUAUACAUAACACAAAACAACUCUAUAGAUAACACAAAACAAUCUUGGUUUCCUACAAUGAUCUCUUCAAAGUCAAAUACUUGUAGAAGAUAACUAUUUCAUUCAAAUGUUUACCCUAGAUACAAUUAGUCUACUAGAUUUCCUUCUAUGCAUGGAGCCACAGAAUUCCUUUAGAAAGAGGCUUAGAAGCUGGGCAUUCCCCUGGGAUUUCAGCACUUGGCAGGCUGAGUGGGAAGACUGGAAGUGUGAGGUUUGCCAGAGUUCACACUGAGAUACUGUAACAAGAAGCAGGUGGCUGAAAUUGGUCCAUGGAUGUUGAAUGUACAGAAUGAGCUUGGGUAGUAUUAUUUUACAUUGAGGACAUCUGCUAGUGGAUUGUGUCUGCAGGUAGCAGAGCCUGGUUGUGAUCCUCACUUCAGACCCGAGUUCAGCAUGUCUGAGAAGGCAAUCUAGUCAUGGAAGAUGCUCAGGUCUACUGGGAUAUGGGUACCAGGACUCUAGGGUCUACUGUUUUGUGGCUUUGUUGGAGCCUAUGUCCUUAUAACUGCCUGUCUGGGACCCAUUGGGUGGGUACUGUUCUCUUCAUUCUUGCUUUUUUUUUUCCUGGAUUCCAUCCUGUGAAGCACAUCCCUCCUCCUCUAGGACAUUUCCUCAUUUUUGGUACCUGCUGCCCCACCCAAAUGGCUUUCUACUUGGCAGCAGUGAGCCAGCCCUGCAUUAGGGAGUAUGCCACUUGCUACGUUGCUCCUGCUGUAGGAUAAAGCUUUUUGUGGCCAGCCAUCUGGUAAUUCAUUCAACAAGGAUUGAGGCCAGGGGAGUUGCCAUGUAGGGGAGAAGAGAAAGGGGAUGCCCACAGAGAGAGGAGGAGGAGGAGGAGAGGGAGAGAGGGGCAGAGAGGGGAGGGGGGAGCUCAGCUGGGGGCAUGAUUGGGGGCAGGGUAUGCCAGGUAGGGACUGAGGGAUGCUGGGAGAGCCUGGAGGCCAGAUCUGCACUAAUAUGUAAAAUAUGCACAUCCAUCCCUUGUCCAGGUCCAAAAUUUAUAUAUUGUACUUGAGGUGUAAGAGGCACUUGAGGUUUCUGUCGCCGACAAAGGGGAGAUGUGGAAGCUUCUUUUUCCUCCUAUAGCCACGUAGGCAUUACUAAUCAAUCAGGAUAUCUUUCCCAGAAUCACUAUUUAAGCUUGCGAAUAUUUCUUAGCACAGUGUUCUAGGUGAUUGCUUUCAGUUGCUGAGAACAGUAGCUUCUAGCAAAGCUAGAUCUUUUAGCAAAGACCAGGCUCAGUCACUCUAUUGACCUCUACCAUUGGUAUUUUGGUCUCUCUGAUUCUAAUAGUGUGACUCCAGACAUCCACUCUUUGCAACAGUGUUUCUCAUGCAAAUAUGGCCAUGUAGAUUCUCUACUUAAAGCUCUUUAGCGACCUCCUGUUGCUUUCCAAAUAGAAUCCAGACUCAAUACCAGGACUUACAACACUGUGCCUGACUUGGCCCCUGCUCAUAUUAUCAGCCCUAUCUAUGUCUCUUUUCUGUCCUUGUUUUCCUGUUUCUUUGCUUGUGUCACCUCAUUUUCAUUCUGGGAGCAUCCCAUAUUUUUCCCACCCUAGCCCUGAACAGUCCUAAGCCUUGUCUCUCAAUCACUCUUGGGAGAGAGCUAGGAGCAUAGAAAAUUGAUCUGGAGUUGGAGAGAUGUUAGCUGGAAAAAUGCUUGUGUUUCAGACACAGAUCUAAGUUCAAUCUCUAGCACCCACAAUAAAACAAGACCAAACAACCAAACAACCAGGAUUGGCUUAUCAGUUAAGAGUACUUAUUGAUCUGCCUGAGGCUAUGGGGAGAGGGACUUCUUUUCAACACCUGGCCUGCUGUGUAAGUUACAUCAGUGAAUCCUCAGGUGUACCAUGUUCUUCCUCAUCUACAGGUGCUUACCUCUGCCUAAACUAGCUCCUCCUCUUACUUCUAGGCUGAGCUUGGCUGUGUCACCUCCUCACAGAGCCCUUUCCUGGCCUUCCCAUGGUAGUUGCUUCUGACAGUUCCUUCCAGAAUCUUACUUGAGUUCUCUGUAGCACCUGUCAUAAUGAUACGGAAAUCCUUGGUGUCUUUGGGAGCAAAGGAACCUUUGAGUUCUUCAGUGCUUAGCUUGAGAGGUUAGGAUCCUGGAAAGCCAAUGGGCAUCAAAUCCAACUAGAAUUUGAGGCUUUCGGUUUCAUGCCUCUCAGGUUCAAAGAAUGAAAUUCGUGGACCACUGAGGGAAACAGAAGGAAACCCAGCUUCUAUCCAUGGUGAAACCAGAGACAUUUCUGCUAUUUCUGGCCUCUGCUCAGGAUGAGUUCUGGACAUUUUGAAGGGCAUUUCCAGCUUUUAGCCAACAAAGAGGCUGGUCAUCUUUCUUUACUCUAAGCUGCCAAUUUCUGCCCCCUGUUCUCGUUGCUAAUCUGCAGUUAUUUAAUUUAUUCUUUGACUGGUUUUCAGGCUCUUAGUCUCUGAGCUCCAUGGUGGCAGGAUUCUUAUUUAUGUAAUUGGUAUCCACAUGCAAAGUACCCAAGCUGUGCCUUGCACACAGUGCGCACAGCAUAGCAUGUGUGGUUUGCCUUGCACACAGUGCACAUAGCAUAGCAUGUGUGGUGUGCCUUGCACACAGUGUGCAUAGCAUAGCAUGUGUGGUUUGCCUUGCACACAGUGUGCACAGCCAUGUGUGGUUUGCCUUGCACACAGUGUGCACAGCAUGUGUGGUUUGGCUGUAUGCUGAUCACUUAGGAUAUAAAUGGGAAGUAUAGGGAAGAGGCCUGAUUUGGACCUGAGAACACAUUGCCUGUGUCCAUGUUACACAUGGAAAUGCAUGUAUCCACAGGAAAGCCAAGAAGAGUUUGGUGUCCCAGGGUCAGUGUCAUGGGAUCCAGAGCGAAUUUGCCAGUGCACAGAUGUGCUACAUCAAAUGCAUCAUACGACCCUGAGAUAAAUGUUCUUCAUACCACUUAAACCCCCAGAAAUUCCCUUUGAGAAAGGGUGUCCUUUCAGACUGUUCUAUGACCUUUCAUGGAUUAAAGUAUGUUUUGUAUUCUUAGUGACCUUUUGCCAUGGGAAUUUAGCAACCUGUGAAGUAAGGAGUGGUACUCAUACCAUUCCCAAAGGUAGUGCUUAUGGUCAGAUUCAGAGGGGUGUCCUGUGCUGGUCAGAAGGUCCUCUCUGCAUCUGUCUUCACUGGAGGUAUGGCUGAGAUCUCGGGUAGCUCCAAGCCUACUUCAUAGAGGCCUUGUUGGCUCCAUGGGACAGCUCAGGCAAUGCUUAACUUUUUUCUAGGACAGUGUCCAACCAACUUUGUGUAAAAGGGACACAUAGCAGGUGGUUUUUACUUAGUUGGCCAGGCAGCUCUCUGUCACAGUUUCUAAACUCUGUUGUUAAAGGGCCACAGCAUUAUGUUAACAAGUAAGUGUAGCUGUGUGCCAAGAAAAUUUUAUCAACAAAAACUAGGAUCAGCCCAAAUUUUGCCCAAAGUCUGUAGUUUAUAUACUCCUGUUGAAGGUUUUUAGAUUAAAAUGAAAACAAAAAUGGUGUAAGCGUGAGAUUGCUUCCAUCACUGUCCAUCUUUCCAAUGUGUACUGCAAACGAUGGCUUUUUAAAUGGUCAAAAGCUGCUGUAGAGCCUGAGAAGCAAUGUUAGUUUUGGCUUCCUGUUUAGGCAAAGUCAAAAUGUGAUUUA